RNAcentral lists this ribosomal RNA (852 nucleotides) under uncultured Planctomycetaceae bacterium. RNAcentral's name for it is "bacterial SSU rRNA". It matches the Rfam family "Bacterial small subunit ribosomal RNA", at positions 173 to 1016 of the family's 1533-position model. The record is from RNAcentral. Lineage: Bacteria; Pseudomonadati; Planctomycetota; Planctomycetia; Planctomycetales; Planctomycetaceae.
GACGUUGUUGAGGGGCAUCUCUUGACAACCAAAGGUGUGAUUCCGCCCGAGGACGGGCUCACGUGGUAUUAGCUAGUUGGUAGGGUAAUGGCCUACCAAGGCUCUGAUGCCUAGGGGGUGUUAGCGCACGAUCCCCACCACUGGGACUGAGAUACUGCCCAGACACCUACGGGUGGCUGCAGUCGAGAAUCUUCGGCAAUGGGCGCAAGCCUGACCGAGCGAUGCCGCGUGGAGGAUGAAGGCCUUCGGGUUGUAAACUCCUGUCAGGGGGGCGGAAAGCCGGGAGAGCUAUCUCUCUUGGUUGACUUAUCCCCAGAGGAAGCACGGGCUAAGUUCGUGCCAGCAGCCGCGGUAAGACGAACCGUGCUAACGUUGUUCGGAAUCACUGGGCUUAAAGGGCGCGUAGGCGGUGUGUCAAGUCGGCGGUGAAAUACUUCAGCUCAACUGAAGAAUUGCCGCUGAAACUGGCACGCUAGAGGGAGGUAGAGGUGCGUGGAACUUCCGGUGGAGCGGUGAAAUGCGUUGAUAUCGGAAGGAACACCUGUGGCGAAAGCGUCGCACUGGACCUCUUCUGACGCUGAUGCGCGAAAGCUAGGGUAGCGAACGGGAUUAGAUACCCCGGUAGUCCUAGCCCUAAACGAUGGGUACUAGAGAGUAGAUGCUCCGAUGUGUUUACUCUCGAAGCAAAAGUGCUAAGUACCCCGCCUGGGGAGUAUGGUCGCAAGGCUGAAACUCAAAGGAAUUGACGGGGGCUCACACAAGCGGUGGAGCAUGUGGCUUAAUUCGAGGCUACGCGAAGAACCUUAUCCUAGGCUUGACAUGCAGGGAUGCCUCCGGGGAGACUCGGUCGGC